Danionella cerebrum is the source of this 72-nucleotide non-coding RNA. NCBI's taxonomy places the organism in Eukaryota, Metazoa, Chordata, Actinopteri, Cypriniformes, Danionidae. The record is from the annotation of a GenBank genome assembly.
UUCCAUAUGGUCAAGCAGUUAGGAUUCCUGGUUUUCACCCAGGUACCUUGGGUUUGACUCCCAGUAUGUAAA